CGCGGCCUAUCAGCUUGUUGGUGGGGUGAUUGCCUACCAAGGCGACGACGGGUAGCCGGCCUGAGAGGGUGUCCGGCCACACUGGGACUGAGAUACGGCCCAGACUCCUACGGGAGGCAGCAGUGGGGAAUAUUGCACAAUGGGCGCAAGCCUGAUGCAGCGACGCCGCGUGGGGGAUGACGGCCUUCGGGUUGUAAACCUCUUUCAGUAGGGACGAAGCGCAAGUGACGGUACCUACAGAAGAAGCACCGGCCAACUACGUGCCAGCAGCCGCGGUAAUACGUAGGGUGCGAGCGUUGUCCGGAAUUACUGGGCGUAAAGAGCUCGUAGGUGGUUUGUCGCGUUGUUCGUGAAAACUCACAGCUUAACUGUGGGCGUGCGGGCGAUACGGGCAGACUGGAGUACUGCAGGGGAGACUGGAAUUCCUGGUGUAGCGGUGGAAUGCGCAGAUAUCAGGAGGAACACCGGUGGCGAAGGCGGGUCUCUGGGCAGUAACUGACGCUGAGGAGCGAAAGCGUGGGGAGCGAACAGGAUUAGAUACCCUGGUAGUCCACGCCGUAAACGGUGGGUACUAGGUGUGGGUUUCCUUCCUUGGGAUCCGUGCCGUAGCUAACGCAUUAAGUACCCCGCCUGGGGAGUACGG
RNAcentral lists this ribosomal RNA (643 nucleotides) under uncultured Actinomycetes bacterium. RNAcentral describes it as "bacterial SSU rRNA". It matches the Rfam family "Bacterial small subunit ribosomal RNA", at positions 232 to 885 of the family's 1533-position model. The record is from RNAcentral. Lineage: Bacteria; Bacillati; Actinomycetota; Actinomycetes.